Molecule: ribosomal RNA, 429 nt
Filed under: Acidobacteriota bacterium
Lineage: Bacteria; Pseudomonadati; Acidobacteriota
Description: Acidobacteria bacterium partial 16S ribosomal RNA
Rfam family: Bacterial small subunit ribosomal RNA
Source: RNAcentral
UGGGGAAUUUUGGACAAUGGGGGAAACCCUGAUCCAGCCAUCCCGCGUGUUCGAUGAAGGCCUUCGGGUUGUAAAUCACUUUUGGCUGGACAGAAACGUCAUGGGUUAAUACCCCGUGAAACUUACUUUACCUGCAGAAUAAGCACCGGCUAACUACCUGCCAGCAGCCGCGGUAAUACGUAGGGUGCAAGCGUUAAUCGUAAUUACUGGACGUAAAGCGUGCGCAGGCGGUUCGGAAAGAAAGAUGUGAAAUCCCAGAGCUCAACUUUGGAACUGCAUUUUUAAUUACCUGGCUAGAGUGUGUCAGAGGGAGGUGGAAUUCCGCGUGUAGCAGUGAAAUUCGUAGAUAUGCGGAGGAACACCGAUGGCGAAGGCAGCCUCUUGGGAUAACACUGACGCUCAUGCACGAAAGCGUGGGGAGCAAACAGG